Molecule: transfer RNA, 73 nt
Filed under: Ovis aries (sheep)
Lineage: Eukaryota; Metazoa; Chordata; Mammalia; Artiodactyla; Bovidae
Rfam family: tRNA
About the family: Transfer RNA (tRNA) molecules are approximately 80 nucleotides in length.
Source: Rfam by way of RNAcentral
UCCCCAGUGGUCGAGUCGUUAGGACUCUGUGCUUAUACUGCAGGGGGUUCAGGUUCGAUCCCUGGUCAGGGAA